AGACGAGGGCGUGAAGGGGCCGGCGAGAAGGAAAAGGGGUGCGAAGGCACCAGAUCCGCCGCCCCUACGCUGCCUUUCCCCACCACCACACAAGAUUCGCAGCGUCCCUGCCCCCAAUUUAAGCAGACGAUUUAGUCGCGGAGGAGACGGAGGAAAUCAAAGCAAUUAAUAGGUGAACUCUGGCCCAUCCCUUGCUCCGAUUCGCGGUAGGCAGCGGCAAUAGCUGCGUCUCAUCUUCAAGCAGCAGCAGCUCCGAUUCGCGGCGGCGGCGGCGGCGUCAAUUCCAGGAGAGAGAAAGUGGAGAGAGAGAGAAGAGCGAGAGAGACAACACACAUGAAAAACGACGUCGUUUUAUCACACCUAAACGGCGUCGUUUUAUUAAUCGUCCGGCAAUUCCACGUCAUUUUUCCAGUAACUUAAAAUGUGCCAUGUCAGCUUUGAAUUUGGGGAUUUUAGAAAUCAUGGAAAAAUUGUUCAAGUCCUUAAGUUCAUGGAAAAUUGGAUAAAAAAAAAUAGUUCAUGGAAAGUUUGGAAAUCGGCC
RNAcentral lists this long non-coding RNA (541 nucleotides) under Salvia miltiorrhiza (redroot sage). Its description in RNAcentral is "long non-coding RNA (SMIL_LNC010210)". The record is from RNAcentral. Lineage: Eukaryota; Viridiplantae; Streptophyta; Magnoliopsida; Lamiales; Lamiaceae.